RNAcentral lists this long non-coding RNA (356 nucleotides) under Bos taurus (domestic cattle). RNAcentral's name for it is "long non-coding RNA NONBTAT010877". Lineage: Eukaryota; Metazoa; Chordata; Mammalia; Artiodactyla; Bovidae. The record is from RNAcentral.
GGGUUAACCAUUGCAUCAGAGGCCAAAAUCGAUGCAAUCCCCAAGUGGACUCAGUAAAAAUCAGCAAGAAAAACAAUUUAGCACACAGUGCAGUUUUGGAGUUUUAAACAGUUCCAGCAUUAAGCAUGGCUUUUAAUGCCAGAGGCACAAAUCAAAACAAAUAAAUGCACAGGCGUCUCAAGGGGAGAAAAACAUACUGCAAGAAGUGACUAAUUCACUUUUUGCCAAUAGUUUCUGUUUGGGGCGAUGCUUACAUAAAUAUUCCAGAAAUGGAACAAUACACUUCUAGGAAAAUAGAAGUGAGGCAAAUCUUCAAAAUUCUCACCUAGAUUGUUGCUAUUCAAAGAGGGGUCCAA